GACGAACGCUGGCGGCGUGCUUAACACAUGCAAGUCGAACGGAAAGGCCCGGCGUUUGUGGGGUGCUCGAGUGGCGAACGGGGGAGUAACACGUGAGUAACCUGCCCUUGACUUUGGGAUAACUUCAGGAAACUGGGGCUCAUACCGGGUAGGAUCUCCUGCUGCAUGGGGGGGGAUGGAAAGUUUCGGCGGUUGGGGAUGGACUCGCGGCUUAUCAGCUUGUUGGUGGGGUAGUGGCUUACCAAGGCUUUGACGGGUAGCCGGCCUGAGAGGGUGACCGGCCACAUUGGGACUGAGAUACGGCCCAGACUCCUACGGGAGGCAGCAGUGGGGAAUAUUGCACAAUGGGCGGAAGCCUGAUGCAGCAACGCCGCGUGCGGGAUGACGGCCUUCGGGUUGUAAACCGCUUUCGCAUGUGACGAAGCGUGAGUGACGGUAAUGGGUAAAGAAGCACCGGCUAACUACGUG
Molecule: ribosomal RNA, 468 nt
Filed under: uncultured bacterium
Lineage: Bacteria
Description: partial 16S ribosomal RNA
Rfam family: Bacterial small subunit ribosomal RNA
Source: RNAcentral